This 387-nucleotide ribosomal RNA is filed under the name uncultured eukaryote. RNAcentral's name for it is "partial 18S ribosomal RNA". It matches the Rfam family "Eukaryotic small subunit ribosomal RNA", at positions 592 to 976 of the family's 1831-position model. The record is from RNAcentral.
CAAUAGCGUAUAUUAAAGUUGUUGCAGUUAAAAAGCUCGUAGUUGGAUUUCUGAUCGAGACAUCAGGUCGGGUCCGAGCGGAUCAUGUACUUUGAUUUGUUUUGAUCAUCCUUGGGGAGAGCAUUUCUGGCAUUCAGUUGUCGGGAUUGGGAUCCUCAUCGUUUACUGUGAAAAAAUUAGAGUGUUCAAAGCAGGCCUCGGCCUCUGAAUACAUUAGCAUGGAAUAAUAAGAUAGGACUUUGGUGGUCUAUUUUGUUGGUUUGCACGCCAAAGUAAUGAUUAAUAGGGAUAGUUGGGGGUAUUCGUAUUCAAUUGUCAGAGGUGAAAUUCUUGGAUUUAUGGAAGACGAACUACUGCGAAAGCAUUUACCAAGGAUGUUUUCAUUAA